GGGGAUUUAGCUCAGUGAUAGAGCGCUUGCCUAGCAAGUGCAAGGCCCUGGGUUCAGUCCCCA
Non-coding RNA from Rattus norvegicus (Norway rat), 63 nucleotides. Lineage: Eukaryota; Metazoa; Chordata; Mammalia; Rodentia; Muridae. The record is from Rfam.